RNAcentral lists this unclassified non-coding RNA (4939 nucleotides) under Leishmania donovani. RNAcentral's name for it is "gene:LdHU3.22.0280(CDS-product:hypothetical_prote in_conserved)". The record is from RNAcentral. Lineage: Eukaryota; Euglenozoa; Kinetoplastea; Trypanosomatida; Trypanosomatidae.
AUAUGCGCCACGUUAUUCCGAUUCUGCUCCUCCCUCUUUCUCGCCCUCUCUCUCUCUUCUCUCACGCUUUCAGAUCCACCAGCAACACGCACAAGAGCAGCUCGACCCCAUCGCCCACCUCCACGGCACGGUACACCUCCGUUUUCGAGUCUGCCGUUGCUGCUACUCUUUUCAUACACCCACACCCACGCUGCGCCUGUAUUCCUCGUGCAUUUCCUGUUUUUUCGUUCGUUGAUUUCAUUUUUUGCUUCUGCGUGUUUUGGCCACAUCUAUCUUUUUGCUUCUCGCACACCUCACGCAUUCCCCUCAUUGCCCGCCACCCACACAGCUUAGCAACCCUUGCCGUCAUCGUACACGUGGCACUGGCAGAGGUAAUUUGGCAGUCUAUUAGUUAUAAGUCGUCUGUUUUUUUUUGUCUUUUUUUUGGCGGCUUGACUAACUCCUUCGGCGUUCCCCAAGCAAUUGUGACGGUGCUCUGACCUCUUUCGAGGCUUCCGCAGAGAAGCCGCAACGUAAAACACAGAAACAGCACGUCAGGAUACAAUGCCUCGCACGCGUGAUACCCACCAGCAGGUCCAGGAAGUGGUCGAUGGAAUCGACGGUGUCGCCUCGCAGGUGCACGUCGACGUAAACGAAAAGGCACAGGAUGCUCAGAAGAGCAUCUCGGGUGCCGCGGCGACCGUGCAGAAAGCCCCUGACGCCGCCCAGAAUGGCGUGCAGAACGCGAUGAACACUGUGCAGUCCUACGUGCAUGAGGGGCAGCGGCUCGCUUCGGAGCACAAGGUGCAGUUGCAGGAGGCUGUAAAGAAGGCUGUGAAUGCCGCGCACGAGUAUGUCGAGGAUGCCCGGAAGAAGGCUGACCCGUACGUUGAGAGCGCGAAGGCGAAAGUGGAUUCGGCCAGGGCCUCCGUGGAGAACGCGCGCCACUCUGCCCAGAACGCUGUGGACAACGCCAAGGAGCAGGUGACCGCUGUGCGCACCAAGGUGACGGCCAAGACGCAGCCGUACGUGAGCAACUACCAAGAGUUCGACGUCACCAAGACGGCGGCCUUCCACGUGCUCAUUCACAUCAUCAGCAGCGUGCUGUACAUAGCCUGGCGUUUGACGCAGUUGAUUCCGUCCGCUCAGCACAUGAUUACCGUCAUUCAGCAAAAGGAGGCCGAUGCGGCGGUGGCGCGGAACUGCGCGACGGUGAUGCAAAAAGUGCCGGUUGUGGGCCCGCGAGCCGUCGAGGUGGCCACGAUCGCUGUCAACAACGUGUGCACUGACCUCAACGAGCAGAUUUCGCAAUACACCACUGCGGCACAGCGUCCGAAGACUGCGUAAGCCCCCGCUCCUACGUUCGGCAACUCUCCACUCCCUCUAUCCCCUCCGCCCCUGGCACUUCGGCGCCGAUGUAUCGCUGCGCGCUGAUACAUACGCAAACACACACACACACACACACACACACACACACACACACACACUGGUGGGCUCAUUCCCUGUGUGUGCGGUCUCUGCCCCUCCGCCACCACACAAGCACAGACUUCUCUAUUCCGGUAGUGUCUCUGGCUGUGAAUCAUUCGUCUUGUUGUUACUGGUGUUAUGUCACCACCCCUCUCCUGCCUUGGUCCGUGUUACGACAUGCGUUUCUGGUCCGCUUCAUUUGCCUUUCAAUUUCGCGUUCUCUACGGUGUUCUCUCCAGCGCCGUAACGGGCACGUUGUCCUUUGGUUGUUUUGCUGUCAUGGGGCGGAUGUAUUGAUCCCUUUUUUUUCUUUGUGCUUGCCCAGCUGUAUUCCUGCCUCAGUUCGCUCUCUGUGCCUCUGGCAAUGCCGCCGCCUCCGCCUCCACCCACCCAUACGCACACUCACCUCUAGGCAGGCUUUGAGCGUCUCCUGCGCGCUGCAGGCGUCUGCGUGUCUCAUACAACGCAGCCUUCUCCCUAUUCCUCCUAUCUAUCCCUCCCCUCCGUGCAACGUUCCCUCAGUCUUCCACCUCCUUUCCUUUUCCCGAGCCCGUUAUGGUGCGCAGGCACGCGUGCAUGCAUGUCUGUGAACCCAGUGCCGUUCUGUGUUCUCUGCUAGAGGCCGCGCCGGUGCAUAAAAACAAGCAGCUGCAACGCGAUGGAAGCGGUGAGAGCGGUGAGGGGUAAGGCGCCGUCGCAGGGAUAUGCGGAUAGAUGUGUAUGUGUGCUCUACCGCGCUGACUCAGGUACGCAUUUUCACUUUCGUUUUUCUUUUGCUUUCUUUGGAUACCUAUAGCGGCUGCCGUCCCCCCCCCCCACCUCUCUCUCCCUUUGCUGUGCCACUGCUCCUUCCUUUACCACCCCUCACCGUCCGUCUCCCAAGCUGUGUGUAUGUGCGCGUGUAUGUCUUUCCUUGUUUGUUGAAGUGUACGAACGCACACGCUCUGCGCUGACAGCGUGUGUGGGUCGGGGAAGAGAGAAUGCGGAGGGAAGCGAACGAGGUCGGCGUGUUCGGUGGGCAAGUUUGUGGGGUGCAACGUCACCUAGUCACACCCCCACCUGCGCAGCGAGUGAUUCACCCUUGUCAUAUAUAUAUAUAUAUGUGUGUGUGUAUAUAUGUAUAUAUAUGUAUUGCUUGGGAAGGCGUUUGGUUCCACAGGUGCGAUCGCGCACGUUGGGGAGGAGUUGAUCUGCUGGUCUCUAUCUACCAUUAUCUUUGCUAUUUGUACGGCGGCUCGUAUGCAGGCCGCAUCGCUGAACUGGGGCUUAUCGGAUGGAGCGGUGAGUCACCCUGUCGGGGGACGCCGGCGUCUUCCUUUUUUUCUUUUUGCUCACUCUUCUCCUCUAGAUCGACGCGUGUUCGCCUUUGCGCAUACGGCUUUAGUGAUGACGGACACGGAGAUAGCCAGGCAUGGUGAGCUUGUUUUCCUUUUCUGUUUAAGCCUUUCUCUGUUUCGCUCUCGUUGAAGUAGUGGUGGCGGUGGCCUUCAUGACUGCGUCUCUGUGUGUGUGUGUGUGUCAGCCGUUCUUCGCUUCUUGGUCCCAGCCUUUUUUUUUUCAUGCUCCUCUGUGGUUUGUUGGGCGCUUUUCUUUGUUCCAUAAAACAUUUUUUUACCUUUUCUCUCCUCUUGCCUCUCGUCCUCCGGCCUACCUCCCCCCUUCCCCUCCACACGCAAAUAUGUCCUUUUCGUCCUAUACGUAUAUACCUCUCUCUCUCUAUAUAUAUCCCACAAGCAGAAGCGUGCACGUAUCUGCCUGGCUGCCCAUUACCUCACCCUCCCUCUCCCCGGAACGCGCAAGCACGCACUCACUCACCUGUGGCAGUCGUGCGGAGACACGCAGAAGGAUGUAUCCGCGGAGCAGGGAAGGGCAGAGAAAGGGGGAAUGUGGUGAACAGCCCUCAUGCAUCUCUCGCUCACAGGCGCCACGGUCCUCGCUGCAGACAUCGGCACCCUCCCCCCCUCCCUUUUCAUCCUUCCUUUUCGCCUUUCCUCGAAGCCACUGCGGCGUAAGUGUGAGUUUUCCCAUGUUGUGCGUGUGUCUGUGUAGCCACGGUGCUGAUCUUUCUUCCUUUUUAUUUUCGCUGCGUUGAUGGCAGCCCUCUUGUCUUCGUCUCCCACCCCUCGAGUGCGCUUCCCGCUCUCUGGCUCUCUUUGCUUUUUUUUCUUUGCGUCCUUUUCCGUGCACUUUUGGUCAGUGGGACUUCUUCGUAAGUGUCAGGGAUGCUGAGCACUGGCUCCGCUCGACUCGGCCGACUUCUCUCCUCCAUCCUCCUUGUCGAGGAGUUCUUAGCGGCUCGUCGUUUGUUGUUGUUCUUUUACUAUCGCUCUUCUUGUCUUUGUGAUUUUGGCGUCCCUGUGGAGGCGUGCCUGUGCACGUGCUUUUUUCCGCGUCAGAGUGUCGGUGUCUGUUUUCAUUCUUUUCGUUAUGUUGAGAGAGGGAGAGACAGAGAGACGGAGAGAGACUCGAGUAAGGCCGCUGCGUCUGCAUUCUUGGAUAGAAGAACCCCCGAACCACACGCACACGCACACGCACACACACACGCACGCAAGCACACACAACAAGGAUCAGAACGCCACUUUGCUUCGCCGCUACCCUGCAUCGCCGCUCUGCCCCUCCCACACACACGCACACACAUGCACAGCCCCUCUUCCUCUGACUCCUGGCUACAGCUUGUCCUCUUUUCGGUUGUUGCCUCACUGCUGCUUCUCCUGUUCCAUCGGCUAUCUUCCUCCCUCUCUCUUUGUGUGGGUAAGUGAGCUUAGGUGUCUGUCGGCUUUCCUAUUGCAUGGGCGGAUUGCACAGAACCCCAAAUAGCCAUUCGCGCCUGCCUUUCUCUCUCCUCCCUCUUCCUAAUCUUCCCCGAGGGGUGUCUCCCACCGCCUUCCCCCCCCCUCUCGCUUACACACGGCGCGCACGCACACAGCCAUGCCCAUGCCCACUCACGCACUGGGAUGCAUGCAUCAAGUAGAGAGACAUUGCGCAUCAACGUUCACCGACGCGCCCAACUGGCAUUUGGUUGGUGAACUGGGUGGGGCAGGUGAUGCGCAGGAGUUCUCACGCCAAAACAAACAAGGAACGAGAUAUAAUGCCAAUAUAUAUAUUUAUUUAUAUGUGGAAAGAGAGAGGCACAAAUAUAUACACACAUAAAGGCAUACAUAUAUACACGCAUAUAUAUAUAUAUGCAUAUAUGUUUGUAUCUAUCGUGGCUGUCUAUCAGCAUUUUUUUUCUGCGUGUUUGUGUGUGUCUUGAGCCGCGGUACUCUCUAACGCAGCUGGAUAAGCGUGAGAAAGGAAAAAGGCAAGCCUCCCUCUCAAAGAUACCCGCACACGCGAAAAAAAUAAGUGGCGAAGAAAACCGCGUGAGAGAAGGGGGAGCGUGGGCAAAAGGGAAAGGACGCCGAACAGGGUGCGGCGCGCUUCGGCCCCCGUGUGCUCUGUCUACGUGCACACGCUCCUUCGCUGCUCUGUCGGCACCCCUCUCCGUUGUUCU